GCGGUGUAAAAUGAGCGUGCGUCCUAUUAGCUAGUUGGAGAGGUAAUGGCUCACCAAGGCUACGAUGGGUAGGGGUUCUUAGUGGAAGGUCCCCCACACUGGCACUGAGAUACGGGUCAGACUCCUACGGGAGGCAGCAGUAGGGAAUAUUGGUCAAUGGGCGCAAGCCUGAACCAGCCAUGCCGCGUGCAGGAUGAAGGCUCUCUGAGUUGUAAACUGCUUUUGUACAGGAGCAAAAAAAUCCCUGCGGGGGGUCUUGAGAGUACUGUAAGAAUAAGCACCGGCUAAUUCCGUGCCAGCAGCCGCGGUAAUACGGGAGGUGCAAGCGUUAUCCGGUUUUAUUGGGUUUAAAGGGUGCGUAGGCGGCUUAUUAAGUCAGUUGUGAAAUCCUAGUGCUUAACGCUAGAAUUGCGAUUGAUACUAUUAGGCUUGAGUUAAGAAUAGGU
This 446-nucleotide ribosomal RNA is filed under the name Cardinium endosymbiont of Formica cinerea. RNAcentral's name for it is "bacterial SSU rRNA". It matches the Rfam family "Bacterial small subunit ribosomal RNA", at positions 215 to 658 of the family's 1533-position model. The record is from RNAcentral. Lineage: Bacteria; Pseudomonadati; Bacteroidota; Cytophagia; Cytophagales; Amoebophilaceae.